This 439-nucleotide ribosomal RNA is filed under the name uncultured eukaryote. RNAcentral's name for it is "bacterial SSU rRNA". It matches the Rfam family "Eukaryotic small subunit ribosomal RNA", at positions 456 to 845 of the family's 1831-position model. The record is from RNAcentral.
ACGUUGAGGUAGUGACAAAAAAUAACGACGGCGUAUAACGGAGCAAUCCGUUAGCCGAUUGUAAUGAGUGCAAUGUAAACAAAUCAAUUAGUAUCAACUGGAGGGCAAGUCUGGUGCCAGCAGCCGCGGUAAUUCCAGCUCCAGUAGCGUAUGUUUAAGUUGCUGUAGUUAAAAAGCUCGUAGUUGGAGUGUGAUUUGAGGCUCGGUUGGGGUGAAAUAAAUUUGCCUAGACAGGGUCUCGAGUCCAUGCUGAAUAAGAUACACUUCCUUUAAUUGAAAGGUUAUAGGUUGACUGGUUCUCAUUCAAUUUACCAUAAGUAAAAUAGAGUGUUUAAAGCAGAACGUAUGUUCAUUGAAUAAUAGAGUAUGGGAUAAUAGAAGAUGAAAGAGGUAGGAUGUGGCCGUCACGGGUAGCAAUAUCCGGGGCUCCUGCUUCUUU